Molecule: ribosomal RNA, 657 nt
Filed under: uncultured bacterium
Lineage: Bacteria
Description: bacterial SSU rRNA
Rfam family: Bacterial small subunit ribosomal RNA
Source: RNAcentral
AUGAACGCUAGCGACAGGCUUAACACAUGCAAGUCGAGGGGCAGCGGGGUUUUCGGACCGCCGGCGACCGGCGCACGGGUGAGUAACACGUAUGCAACCUACCUUUAACACAGGGAUAGCCCGUUGAAAGACGGAUUAAUACCUGAUAAUACAGGGAUACCGCAUGGUAUUAUUUGUUAAAGAUUUAUUGGUUAAAGAUGGGCAUGCGUUGGAUUAGGUAGUUGGUAUAGGUAACGGCUUACCAAGCCAUCGAUCCAUAGGGGUUCUGAGAGGAAGGUCCCCCACACUGGUACUGAGACACGGACCAGACUCCUACGGGAGGCAGCAGUGAGGAAUAUUGGUCAAUGGUCGAGAGACUGAACCAGCCAAGUCGCGUGAAGGAUGACGGUAUUAUGUAUUGUAAACUUCUUUUGUAUGGGAAUAAAAAAGGGGACGUGUCCCUUCUUGUAUGUACCAUACGAAUAAGCAUCGGCUAACUCCGUGCCAGCAGCCGCGGUAAUACGGAGGAUGCGAGCGUUAUCCGGAUUUAUUGGGUUUAAAGGGUGCGUAGGUGGAUUGAUAAGUCAGCAGUGAAAGUUUUCAGCUUAACUGGAAAAUUGCCGUUGAAACUGUCAGUCUUGAGUGUGAACGAGGUAGGCGGAAUUCGUAGUGUAGCGU